UACGGAGGGAGCUAGCGUUGUUCGGAAUUACUGGGCGUAAAGCGCACGUAGGCGGCUUUUAAGUCAGGGGUGAAAUCCCGGGGCUCAACCCCGGAACUGCCUUUGAAACUGGGAAGCUAGAAUCUUGGAGAGGCGAGUGGAAUUCCGAGUGUAGAGGUGAAAUUCGUAGAUAUUCGGAAGAACACCAGUGGCGAAGGCGACUCGCUGGACAAGUAUUGACGCUGAGGUGCGAAAGCGUGGGGAGCAAACAGG
Molecule: ribosomal RNA, 252 nt
Filed under: uncultured bacterium
Lineage: Bacteria
Description: partial 16S ribosomal RNA
Rfam family: Bacterial small subunit ribosomal RNA
Source: RNAcentral